This 66-nucleotide transfer RNA is filed under the name Haloa japonica. RNAcentral describes it as "Haminoea japonica tRNA-Asp". Lineage: Eukaryota; Metazoa; Mollusca; Gastropoda; Cephalaspidea; Haminoeidae. The record is from RNAcentral.
UUUAAUUUAGUUUAAUAAAAAUAUAGGUUUGUCAAGCCUAAGAUUUGAUCUCUUUCAAAAUUUGAU